AUUGAACGCUGGCGGCAUGCCUUACACAUGCAAGUCGAACGGCAGCACGGGUGCUUGCACCUGGUGGCGAGUGGCGAACGGGUGAGUAAUAUAUCGGAACGUACCUUAUUGUGGGGGAUAACGCAGCGAAAGCUGUGCUAAUACCGCAUAAUCCCUAAGGGGGAAAGCGGGGGACCGUAAGGCCUCGCGCAACUAGAGCGGCCGAUACCUGAUUAGCUAGUUGGUGCGGUAAAGGCUCACCAAGGCAACGAUCAGUAGCUGGUCUGAGAGGACGAUCAGCCACACUGGGACUGAGACACGGCCCAGACUCCUACGGGAGGCAGCAGUGGGGAAUUUUGGACAAUGGGGGCAACCCUGAUCCAGCAAUGCCGCGUGAGUGAAGAAGGCCUUCGGGUUGUAAAGCUCUUUUGUCAGGGAAGAAACAGCAGCUCUAACACAGUAUGCGAAUGACGGUACCUGAAGAAUAAGCACCGGCUAACUACGUGCCAGCCGCCGCAGUAA
This 501-nucleotide ribosomal RNA is filed under the name uncultured bacterium. RNAcentral describes it as "partial 16S ribosomal RNA". It matches the Rfam family "Bacterial small subunit ribosomal RNA", at positions 30 to 523 of the family's 1533-position model. The record is from RNAcentral.